UUAAAGAAACAAUCCCUACUCUCAAAUCUUAAUGCCCAUAUCUAAGAAAACAAUGACAUGGCAUCCCAUCACAACCGCAUAUUCCUUGUGAAUCUGAAUACCGUUCAAAUGGAGAAAUGAAAACGGAGCAUCCAGAUGUGCAGUGAAUAUUUUGUGUGACUCACAUCAGGAAUUGGCCUGAGCAUUGAGUUCAUCCCUUGUGCACUGCACUGAGGAGCUGUUCGCUCCGUGUCAUUAGUGCACCUGAUUUGCUGCAGUCCCUGCUUCAACUCAGGCCACAACUGGGUUGGUUAGAAACAAACAGCUUUCAAACCUGGGCUACCCAGGCAAUGUCCCUGAAAAAAUGUCAUACAUAGAGAGCUGCUUCUCCUGGACCUGGUCUCCACAAUGAGGAUGACUGGGUGGCUGGUCAAGAAUGAAAUUCACACCAGGGCGAGAUUCAGAAUCACAAGAGGGCUGGCAACAUGUCUGUCUGUCCACUGAGUGCUUGUUUCCCUUGUGAGAUGUGAGUACAUUCCCCAGCAAGCAUGGGAAAGAAGCAGCAGGCCUGCUGAGGCUUGCUACCAAGCACUUGGACAUAGAGACAAAGGUGCAUAUCCUUAUUGUUUUGUUAUUUAUUCAUUUAUUUUUAGACAGGCUUUCGCUGUUUGGCCCUGUCUCUAUAUCCAGACAAGCAUGACCCCCAAUUGUUUCAAUCAAGGCAUGCACCACCACCACCACUAUUGGCUACAGGUGCAUCCACCUUGCUGACCUGGAGAAAGGCUGUGUUGAAAACACAAGCUGUAACAGCAUCUGCGAAUUGACAUUUGAG
Molecule: long non-coding RNA, 811 nt
Filed under: Cricetulus griseus (Chinese hamster)
Lineage: Eukaryota; Metazoa; Chordata; Mammalia; Rodentia; Cricetidae
Description: lncRNA (ENSCGRG00015032920.1)
Source: RNAcentral